GGAGGGAUCAUUAGAAUUCAGCUUUGCUUUUCAAUUAGCAAGCGUGGUUUAUACCAUGAACAACUUAUCUUAUUUUAAACGUACAUUGCCAACAAAACUCCAUGUUUUUCAACCAAUGACACUCAACUAACAAACUUAAAAAACACAAAAAAACGACUCGCAACAACGGAUAUCUUGGUUCUCGCAACGAUGAAGAACGCAGCGAAAUGCGAUACGUAAUGCGAAUUGCAGAAUCCAGUGAAUCAUCAAAUGUUUGAACGCACAUGGCGCCCCUCCGCGUAGGAGAGGCACGUCUUCAUGAGCGGCGUUUUCACCCUUCCCCGAGCUCGCUUCAUUAGCGGGACUUUCAGGGAGAAAUGCGGGUGCUCCCUCGGGAGCCUCCGUGAAAUCCAGAGGGCCCUUUUCUCGGCUCGUCGACUUGUUUAUUUAUUCAUAUCGACGCACCGCGUCCGGAUCCGGGACAGCUCUCGCUGCUCGCGACUCCAACGGAUACUGCCUCCUCGCGGGGCUUUCUGUUGGGCACAAGGUCGUCUUGCCAGCGCGUCGUCCAUCGCAGACCCCGGCCGCCAGCCCAGAGAGAAAUCCCACCGACAACCCCCCGUUUCCCUUUGAAGAAGCAAUUCUUCUGGGGGAAACCCCCUUUUAAAGCCCUCAUGUAAAACGAGAGAACCCGCUGAACUUAAGCAUAUUAUUAGCGGAGGAAAAGAAACUAACAAGGAUUCCCUCAGUAACGGCGAGUGAAGCGGGAAGAGCUCAAGUCGAAAAUCCUUGCUCCACGCGGGGCAAGGAGUUGUGGCCUCGAGACCCUUUGUCAUGGCGCGGGCAACCGCAUCUCCAGAGAUAAGUCCCUUGGAACAGGGCAUCAGAGAGGGUGAGAAUCCCGUUCAUUCUCUGGAGGGAGACCAGUACGACAAGGGUUCCCAGAGUCGCGUUGCUUGGGAGUGCAGCGCAAAGUGGGUCGUACACGUGAUCCAAAGCUAAAUACUGGCGAGAGACCGAUAGUGAACAAGUACCGUGAGGGAAAGAUGAAAAGCACUUGGAAACGAGAGUGAAAAAGAGCUUGAAAUUGUUGCGAGGUAAGCACUGGUGAAGGUUUAUUUGCGACGCUUGCGCUUUGGAGGGAGCUCUGGGCCGCGACGGAGGGACCGAGUCUCGUAAAGGGGCCGGUCUGCUGGCGCGAGUCUGGGGUUCUAGAGAUCGCACAGGCGGAGCCGUCUGCAUUGUUUUGGCUUUUCAAAGGUCCGAGUAGGUGGGGGCGCAGGUAGCGAGGCGGCGGCGACAAGCCGAAGCGCUCUCGAAGUCUAUAGCACCCUCAUUCGACGGACCGGCCGGAACAAUCGAUAGAAGGGCGUGGCGGAAACGGAAGGGGAGCGGGGCUCGCGGCGGGCGGCGGCUUGGAUGUUCAAUGAUCAGCCAGGUGCCGUCCCGUUGCUCACGCUUCGUCCCCAAGGCCGUGGCUGCCAUCGUCAACAAAUUCUUUCGCGGACGCAAGUGUUCUCGUCGGCUCGCCCGACGAGGAAACAAGCCCACCAAUGACCCGUCUUGAAACACGGACCAAGGAGUCCAACGUGUGUGCGAGUAUUUGCCUGGUUCAAGGGCGGAUGCGCAGUGAAAGCAAAGGACCGUCCUCGCGACAGUCUGAGGUGUGAAGGCGGGCCGCCCCAAAAGGGCGGUUCGUCCGCAACAUCGGCCGGCCCCGGUGUCUUUGGGGACUGAGCACGAGCACCCAUGUUGGGACCCGAAAGAUGGUGAUCUAUGCCUGAGCAGGGCGAAGCCAGGGGAAACUCUGGUGGAGGCUCGCAGCGAUACUGACGUGCAAAUCGUUCGUCGGAUUUGGGUAUAGGGGCGAAAGACUAAUCGAACCAUCUAGUAGCUGGUUCCCUC
RNAcentral lists this unclassified non-coding RNA (1884 nucleotides) under uncultured fungus. RNAcentral describes it as "sequence contains 18S rRNA gene, ITS1, 5.8S rRNA gene, ITS2, 28S rRNA gene". The stretch from base 647 to 1884 matches the Rfam family "Eukaryotic large subunit ribosomal RNA", at positions 1 to 961 of the family's 3401-position model. The record is from RNAcentral. Lineage: Eukaryota; Fungi.